Molecule: microRNA precursor, 202 nt
Filed under: Oryza rufipogon (brownbeard rice)
Lineage: Eukaryota; Viridiplantae; Streptophyta; Magnoliopsida; Poales; Poaceae
Description: MIR812 microRNA precursor family
Rfam family: MIR812 microRNA precursor family
Source: Rfam by way of RNAcentral
UAUAAGGGAUUUUGAGUUUUUGCUUGCAAUGUUUGAUCACUCGUCUUAUUCAAAUUUUUUUGAAAUUAUUAAUUAUUUUAUUUGUGACUUACUUUAUUAUCUACAGUACUUUAAACACAACUUUUCGUUUUUUACAUUUAAAAAAAAAUUUGAAUAAGACGAGUGGUCAAACAUUGCAAGCAAAAACUAAAAAUCCCUUAUA